This is a long non-coding RNA of Mustela lutreola (European mink), 3261 nucleotides long. RefSeq lists it as uncharacterized. Lineage: Eukaryota; Metazoa; Chordata; Mammalia; Carnivora; Mustelidae. The transcript has 2 exons. The record is from RefSeq and is a predicted model, not a curated record.
GGACCUCAUUUCCUGUCCUAAUGGAAAGCUCCGCGCCUGGCACUGAAAAUUAAGAAUCUUUGAUUUUCUACUUUUAUCCCAAGGUGCUGCUGAUGGGGGCUGAAGGCACCACUGGUCUCCGGGUCUGGAAGCCUGGGUGAGCUGGGAGUUUCAAACUGAGAAGAAGUUGCCGUUUGAAGCUGUGCUUCUGGAACCUGAUCAUCCGAGUGAGUCACCCAGUGACCUCAUUAAAAUGCAGAUUCCCCGGGAAAGUCUGUUUUUCUAAGAGGCCCCGGCGGGGGGGGGGGGGGGGGGGGAUGCCAGGGUCGCGGGUCCACAGCAAAGAGCAACAAUCUCAGCCCCAUGGUGUUUUAGAGUUGCCCGCAGAACUUCGCAAAAUGCUGAUGUCUUGAUCUCCUUCCCCGGCAAUUCCGACUUAAUUGGUCUGGGGUGUGGACUGGGACAGGAUUUCUGAAACUUUCUUGGUCAUUCUAACGGGCAGCCUGGGUGGAGGACCCAUCCGUGUGAACGGAGUGGUCCUGGCACUUCGGAAAGGGGGUGCCAGGCUUGCAGCCAGCUGUGGCCACAUCUGUAAGGACUGCGCCUGACCCCUCCCCUGCAAAAGAGCUGCAUUCACCCUUUCAGGGCAGUUGGAACCAGCCAGAAGCAUGCCGGAAGCGGCUGGCUGUGUGGCCAAACCACUUGUCCUGAGGGAGGUGGAACUUGGGGCCCAGAGCACAGAUGCACGUUGCAUAGCUGUGUGACAGCAGCCCCGGCUCUGAGCUUCUCUGUCUCACCUGGAAGCAUCUUCAGGCCACCUUGUGGGGCUGCAGGCUGCUGAGAGGCAAUGUCUGCCACAUACGGGGCUCCAUGACGGACUCGGUAAAAGGGAGCUCUUGCUCAUAAACACAGAAGCAAGAAGCCUGGACAACCAGCGACAGAGCAAUGGAGAGGGGCUGAGAGCUGGGGUCAGUGUUUGCCAACGUGAAAUAGCCAGAUGGGAAGAGAUCCCUUUUGGUAAAUUCCCGGUCCUUCCAUCCUCUGUGAUCACUUCAGUAUUAUUAUCCAGUUCUGCUCUGCAAGAGACCCAGGACCUGCACGGCUGACUUCCUCUGAGAGGCUCCAAAUGUGAAAAAUGAAAUAAUUCAGAAUGUGAAACCCCCUUUGGAAUGUCCUUAUUCUCUGUUUUGGGGUGAAAGAAAGUCGUUUAAAAAAGAAAAAAAACAACCUUCAUUAUAUCAAGGAGAAGAAGAAAUAAACCACAUCAACAGGAAGCUCAGAGAAGAGAUUUAUUUGUUCAUGUUAAAAAGGCAACUUAGUUAGCAAUUCUUGUGAGGUUUGGCUUCGCUCCACUGCUCGCAACAUAUUAAGGUCUGUCUCUUGAGGAAGACAAACAAUUCCAGCACCGGGGGCCUUCCAAACACUGGGCUGUUUUCAGUUUUGCAGGGAGUGUCUCAUAGGGAUGUUUGCUUGGUGGUGGUGACCAUACUGGGGGUAGGGGUGGGGAGAGAGAGAGAGAGAGAGAGAAUGGCAAGGGAAAGUAAAUUAAAGAAGACAAGGAGAUGACUUUUAAUGGGCCUAUCCAGAGUCUGGGAGGUGGGGUUCCUGUACCUCAGCACCCUCUUCCUCACCAUAAUGUCCUUUUCCUGCUCUUCCUCCGUUCCUGUCUUCCUCCAUACCUCUAUGUUCUGAAUUAUAAAAGUCUCUAAUAUUGCGUAUGUCUAAGAGUAGAAGGUGAACACCCCUCUUCCUAUCUCAGUAUGCAUAAGGACCACCUAGGUUAAAAACAGGGUAAAAAGCACAUAUUCCUGGGACCCACCCCCAGAGGGUCUGAUUUACCAGAUCUGGAGCAGGUCCGAGAAGCUUCACUUACAGCAAGCCCCAUCCCCACCCCCCGCCCCCGCCACCGUCCACCCUAGUGAUUCUGAUGUGAGUGGCCAUUGAACCAGGCUUAAAGAUGAGCUGCUUCGCGCUGACGGCUUGGCAUGUGUCUUUCACACAAGUGUGCAGAAAUGUACACAUGCUGCAUGACACGGAAAAUACGCACACAACACAGACUCGUAGACACAGGGCUACGGUACAUAGGGUAUACACUUCUCCCUACCAGCCCACACAGCCAUGAGCCCAGGGCUCCCAUGAGUCAGAACAACAGCAUUUUACUAGACAAAAAUGAAGAGAAGUUUUAGAAUAUGCUUAUAGACUCCUUUCUGCACUUUCAGACUUCGUGUCCUUUCUGUCUUGCAAAACCUGCCCACACAGAGUCAAAUAAAGCCACACCUCAUUGCCAGUGACAUUCUAGACGUUCUGUCUGGUCUUUGUCUGCAGCUGGUGAUAGAUAAGGCUUUCUGAUCCCCUACAAAUAGCCUUUAACCUAUUCCCCGGGGUCAUGACUAUUUUGUGGUGAGCAAAUACCCUAAUGCGUGUUCUCUGUGCCAUGCCGGUCAGAGUACCAUGACUGGUUCUCUGACAGAACAGACUCCCUUGGCACUCCUCCCCCUCACUGAGCACUCUGGAAAGAGCAAAGGUCUUGAUGUCAAACAGGCUUAAGUUCAACUUGAUUCUCUCUUUCACCAGAUGUGUAUGUUUGGGCAAGUUGAUUAACCUCUGAACCUCAAUUUUCUCACCUGUUAAAUGGGCAUAACAUUAUUCAUAGUAACGCCAUGAGGGUUAAAUGUCACAGAGAGAAUUUUUACCACAAUAAUCUUUCAGCAAAUCCAUCCAUUCAGCAAGUAUUUAACUGUGUGCCUGUUAAUUGCACCAUGAUGCAUUGCUUAACCAGAUGCCACUUUCCUCUGCCUCAAGCAGUGCUGGACGUGACCCUAAGGGCUGGGACAGAGGCAGUGAGUGAGCAGAGCUGACAUACAUCCCCAUCUUGAUGGAGCUCACAUUCUGGUGGUGGCUGCCAUGGUCAUCAUUAUUUCAUGGUCAUCUACCACAACAGCGCUGUAAAUUAAUUUUAUCUUUGUGAUAGAAGUAAGGGAUGAGUCAGAUGACUGGGAGAGAUAUCCAGGCCACUUCUCUCGGCACCAGGCUAUAGCCGUGUCUCCACCUUAUUGGGAUCCAUCACAUACAAUUCAGGUUUACGUGUAUGAACCUUUAUUUACAUAUUUACCUUUAUUUUUAAGUAGGCUCGCACUGGGGCUUGAACUCACAACCCUGAGAUCAAGACCUGAGCCGAGAUCAAGAGUCGGAGGGCUUAAUGGACUGCACCACCCUCGGGCCCCCACUUGUAUGACCCUUUAGAUAAAUGGCUAUAAAUAAAUUGGUCCUACACCCAUCAAA